Long non-coding RNA from Empidonax traillii (willow flycatcher), 205 nucleotides. RefSeq lists it as uncharacterized. The record is from RefSeq and is a predicted model, not a curated record. Lineage: Eukaryota; Metazoa; Chordata; Aves; Passeriformes; Tyrannidae. The transcript is spliced from 3 exons.
CCUUAUUGUGAAAGCCAAUGCUGAGGACGGGCUGCAGAAGUGGGAACCACCAGUAGUUCCUGCAACAGCCAAGGACAACCAGGAGAAGAAUCCAAACCAUGGGGUGGGCACAGGAGAAGAAAGCAGAAGAAAACAGUAGGUUUGGGACUGUCCUCAGUCAAAAAGCAUUAGCAGAGGAAGAAAUGCUCCAACCAGAAGAUCCACC